GAGAGGUGCUACCGGCGAGCGCGAGCCCCCCGAGGGCGGCUGGAAGCCCCGGACCGUUGGUAGAGUGGAAGGGGAUAGAGAUCGGUGGGGCGAGCGUCCCCCGUGGCCAGACCUCCCCUCACCGCCCUUCCUCAGGUAUCGGGAAGAGUUGCCAGCGGCCAUCAGGGGCAGAGCAGAGAAGCAUGUGACAGGGAGCUGGAGCGGCUGCUGGCCUGGCAGCUGACUGUGAAGGGCGGCCCGCCCCGAGGGCAGGGCCUCCGUAGCGCGGGUCUUCAUUGGGGCGUGGCAUCGGCGGGGCGGGUGUCUCCAGUGGGGGCGGGGCCUCCCUGGUGGGUCCAGCACCCCAGGCACCCUGACCUGGCCUCCCACAGAGGGGCGCUUCCGGCCACGUCUGCAGCAGCUGGUGGCCACCAAUCCCCCUGAGCUGGUUGUGCACUGUUCGACCGCCACCUUCUGCCUCCUGCCAGAUGUGGGGGCUGCAGUCACCGAGCUGUGUGCCCUCUGCGGUGUGGGCCCACCACAGCCUCGGGUGAGUUGGGUGGGCACGACUUGGGUACACAGGCGUUCUUGUCUGUGAAGCGGGCAGUCUGGGCCCUUGCGUGUCGCUAGGAGCAGGAACCAUAGGGCCCUGGGCUGCUGGGAGCAGGGUCUCCCAGAGCUUGUCCUGAUGGGGUGUCUGGCUGCUUCUCCUCGCUGUUCACAGCAGUCCUGGCAGCUGGAGCUCCAGAGAUGGAGGCCUUCAUGUCAGAUGAGGCAGUGGCCACAGUGCCCGGCUGGCCGGCCCCACAGUACACCCUCAGGUACUACCUGCUGUACCUGGGCCAGGUUCAAGAGCGGGCCACAGCUCUGAGCCAAGGGGAAUGAACUGUGUGUGGGCAGGUUGGGGUGGCCCGUGCCCCUGGGCCUGAGUCCGUGUGCCCCUCCCUAGCCAGUGCCUCAGGACAGUGGACUCCCUACCUAGUGGAGACAGCACUGUGGACCUGGGCUAUGGGGCAGAGGCUGUGCCCAGACCUGCUGCCCAACCUUGGCCCCAGCCUGGCCACCCACGAGGAUGCUAGGCCAGCCAAGAAGCAUGGAACCCAGGCCGAGUGAACUUGGCCAUGGCCCAGGCCUGCUCACCUGCCACAGAACCUCAGGCCUCCGGGUCUCACUGGACGGCAGGGAGGCUGAAGAGGGGGCUGGCCACUACGGGAGCUCAAUAAACACUUCCCAAACUCC
RNAcentral lists this non-coding RNA (1218 nucleotides) under Pan troglodytes (chimpanzee). Lineage: Eukaryota; Metazoa; Chordata; Mammalia; Primates; Hominidae. The record is from RNAcentral.